CCCUUGGAUGUUCGGGGCCGCACGCGCGCUACACUGAAGGAAUCAGCACGUCUUUCUCCUUGUCCGAAAGGACUGGGUAACCCGCUGAACCUCCUUCGUGCUAGGGAUUGGGGCUUGUAAUUCUUCCCCAUGAACGAGGAAUUCCCAGUAAGCGCGAGUCAUAAGCUCGCGUUGAUUACGUCCCUGCCCUUUGUACACACCGCCCGUCGCUACUACCGAUUGGAUGGUUUAGUGAGAUCCUCGGAUUGGUCCCGGCGCGGCCUCUGGUCGUGCCGGAGUGCCGAAAAGAAUGUCGAACUUGAUCAUCUAGAGGAAGUAAAAGUCGUAACA
This 330-nucleotide ribosomal RNA is filed under the name uncultured eukaryote. Its description in RNAcentral is "partial 18S ribosomal RNA". It matches the Rfam family "Eukaryotic small subunit ribosomal RNA", at positions 1470 to 1796 of the family's 1831-position model. The record is from RNAcentral.